UUCGAUGGAUAACAGGUUGAAAUUCCUGUACUAUCCUGUAACAGAACUGUGGGGACACAGGCAGAGAGCGUGAGCCGGAAAUGGAAAGACCGGUACAAGCGAGGUAGGAGAAGAGUUGGCAAAUCCGCUCUUUAAUCUGAAGACGUGAUGUGGACUGAAAAUAAGUAGGGAAGCACGUGAGCUGACUGUCAAGAAAAGCCGCUAUUGUUUGCAGGAUACCCGUACCGUAAACCGACACAGGUGGAUGAGGAGAGAAUCCUAAGGCCGACGGGAGAAGCAUUGUUAAGGAACUCGGCAAAAUGACUCCGUAACUUCGGGAGAAGGAGUGCCAGUAAGAUGGCCGCAGAGAAUUGGCCCAAGCAACUGUUUAGCAAAAACACAGGUCUAUGCAAAACCGAAAGGUGAGGUAUAUGGGCUGACGCCUGCCCGGUGCUGGAAGGUUAAGGGGAGAGGUUAGCGCAAGCGAAGCUUUGAACUUAAGCCCCAGUAAACGGCGGCCGUAACGAUAACGGUCCUAAGGUAGCGAAAUUCCUUGUCGGGUAAGUUCCGACCCGCACGAAAGGCGUAAUGAUUUGGGCACUGUCUCAACAAUGCACCCGGUGAAAUUGAAAUACCAGUGAAGAUGCUGGUUACCUGCGCCAGGACGGAAAGACCCCAUGGAGCUUUACUCCAGCUUGAUACUGGGAUUCGGUAUUGCAUGUACAGGAUAGGUGGGAGGCUAGGAAAUGGUAACGCCAGUUGCCAUGGAGCCAAUGUUGGGAUACCACCCUUGCAGUACUGGGUUUCUAACCAGCAGCCGUGAUCCGGCUGGGGGACAAUGUCAGGUGGGGAGUUUGACUGGGGCGGUCGCCUCCGAAAGGGUAUCGGAGGCGCUCAAAGGUUCCCUCAGAAUGGUUGGAAACCAUUCGAAGAGUGCAAAGGCAGAAGGGAGCUUGACUGCGACACCGACGGGUGGAGCAGGUACGAAAGUAGGACUUAGUGAUCCGGUGGUAUAAAGUGGGAUUGCCAUCGCUCAACGGAUAAAAGCUACCCUGGGAUAACAGGCUUAUCACUCCCAAGAGUUCACAUCGACGGAGUGGUUUGGCACCUCGAUGUCGGCUCAUCGCAUCCUGGGGCUGAAGUAGGUCCCAAGGGUUGGGCUGUUCGCCCAUUAAAGCGGUACGCGAGCUGGGUUCAGAACGUCGUGAGACAGUUCGGUCCCUAUCCGGCGUGGGCGUAAGAUAUUUGAGAGGAGCUGUCCUUAGUACGAGAGGACCGGGAUGGACUGGCCGCUGGUGUAUCUGUUGUCUUACCAAAGGCAUAGCAGAGUAGCCAAGCCGGGAAGGGAUAAACGCUGAAGGCAUCUAAGCGUGAAGCCCCCCUCAAGAUGAGAUAUCUCAUAACGUCAAGUUAGUAAGACCCCUUGAAGACGACGAGGUAGAUAGGGCAGAGGUGGAAGUGUGGUAACGCAUGGAGCUGACUGUUACUAAUAGGUCGAGGGCAUAACC
This 1487-nucleotide ribosomal RNA is filed under the name metagenome. RNAcentral's name for it is "bacterial LSU rRNA". It matches the Rfam family "Bacterial large subunit ribosomal RNA", at positions 1414 to 2925 of the family's 2925-position model. The record is from RNAcentral.